RNAcentral lists this ribosomal RNA (429 nucleotides) under Bacteroidota bacterium. RNAcentral's name for it is "Bacteroidetes bacterium partial 16S ribosomal RNA". It matches the Rfam family "Bacterial small subunit ribosomal RNA", at positions 355 to 776 of the family's 1533-position model. The record is from RNAcentral. Lineage: Bacteria; Pseudomonadati; Bacteroidota.
UAGGGAAUCUUCGGCAAUGGGGGGAACCCUGACCGAGCAACGCCGCGUGAGUGAAGAAGGUUUUCGGAUCGUAAAGCUCUGUUGUUAAGGAAGAACGAGUGUGAGAAUGGAAAGUUCAUACUGUGACGGUACUUAACCAGAAAGGGACGGCUAACUACGUGCCAGCAGCCGCGGUAAUACGUAGGUCCCGAGCGUUGUCCGGAGUUAUUGGGCGUAAAGCGAGCGCAGGCGGUUAGAUAAGUCUGAAGUUAAAGGCAGUGGCUCAACCAUUGUAGGCUUUGGAAACUGUUUAACUUGAGUGCAGAAGGGGAGAGUGGAAUUCCAUGUGUAGCGGUGAAAUGCGUAGAUAUAUGGAGGAACACCGGUGGCGAAAGCGGCUCUCUGGUCUGUAACUGACGCUGAGGCUCGAAAGCGUGGGGAGCGAACAGG